Long non-coding RNA from Cyprinus carpio (common carp), 1103 nucleotides. RefSeq lists it as uncharacterized. The transcript has 3 exons. The record is from RefSeq and is a predicted model, not a curated record. NCBI's taxonomy places the organism in Eukaryota, Metazoa, Chordata, Actinopteri, Cypriniformes, Cyprinidae.
CACGACUCACAUAUAUAUUUGAAUAUUACACAUAAAAAACUGUGUAUGAAAACUAUACGCAGCCUGUAUUGGAGCAUGUAGGCAAUCUUAAACGUGUGGGGCAGCACAGCAGGGUGGAUAUUGUUGAGGCUUUGUACUGAGGGGGCCAUUUCACAUUGAAAGGAAAACAGCUCACGAGAGGCUUUACAGCUGCUUUGGAGAUAUAAAUCUCUCUCUCUCGCUUUCUUUCUUGUUUUACUCGUACUUCAUCACGUGCAGUUCUGCAGACACCUGGCUCAAAGCCAGACCUCAGAGAAAUGUAUAUGUAACCGGAUCCGCUUUACAUGUAAAUACAUCUGUAAGUGUGCACACAUACUAAACCUCUGGAUAGAGAACGGUCUCUCUGGCUGACCUGGGGUCAGAUUUCACAUGUCUGUCAGGGUCGGUCAUAUAUGUGUCCAUUGGUCCAGGUAAACACAGACUCAGUCUCUCCAUCUGGUUCCAGUAAAGCUGACGCCUGCACUGUACAGUGAAUGAUUACACAUUCCCCUAAGGGCAGUGGUCCAAACACAACCUGAAGGAGACCCAAAACAUGACGUAAGGCACAUGGUUGCAAUCAGAUCUUUUGGGCAAGACCUCUUCGGACUCGUUUUCCCAGAGGAAAUCAGCUUACAGCAUCCUUUAAGAAAUCUAACCCCAGUCGGGAUGGAAAUGAACAGGAAGCGAAUUUCAUCUUGUGGAAACCUUUGGAUGCAUCACUGUACAACCAUGUUGAGCAAUCAUCAACAUCAUCAUUAUCAUCAUCAUCAUAACUGCCGUGCUACAAUAGAUCCCAGCAGGGGACAUUGCAGGAUGAAUAUAAAACCUCUAACUUUCUUCAAAUGCAAAUCUAUAACAAUGUAAACCUUUUCAUUAGAUGUUUGUGUUAUUUUAUUCUCGCCAUGUCCAUAAAUUUACAUAAAACACAUAAAAAACCUAUCUUGCUUCAACAAAAGAUUUAUUUUGCAUGGGAGAUGCAAAUGGUCCUAAAGUAGAUUUCAGUAUACUGCUAACUUUUGAUUUUGGGUUGAAAUAUGAUCCAGACAGAUUCUCACAUAUAAUUUAGCACAAAUCACAUAUUGAAU